Molecule: ribosomal RNA, 451 nt
Filed under: uncultured bacterium
Lineage: Bacteria
Description: bacterial SSU rRNA
Rfam family: Bacterial small subunit ribosomal RNA
Source: RNAcentral
UACGGGAAGGCAGCAGUGGGGAAUAUUGCACAAUGGGCGCAAGCCUGAUGCAGCCAUGCCGCGUGUAUGAAGAAGGCCUUCGGGUUGUAAAGUACUUUCAGUCGUGAGGAAGGUGUUAAGGUUAAUAACCUUAGCAAUUGACGUUAGCGACAGAAGAAGCACCGGCUAACUCCGUGCCAGCAGCCGCGGUAAUACGGAGGGUGCGAGCGUUAAUCGGAAUUACUGGGCGUAAAGGGCACGCAGGCGGUUAAUUAAGUUGGAUGUGAAAUCCCCGGGCUUAACCUGGGAAUGGCAUUCAAGACUGGUUAGCUAGAGUCUUGUAGAGGGGGUAGAAUUCCAUGUGUAGCGGUGAAAUGCGUAGAGAUGUGGAGGAAUACCGGUGGCGAAAGGCGGCCCCUGGACAAAGACUGACGCUCAUGUGCGAAAGCGUGGGGAGCAAACAGGAUUAGAU